Molecule: long non-coding RNA, 505 nt
Filed under: Calidris pugnax (ruff)
Lineage: Eukaryota; Metazoa; Chordata; Aves; Charadriiformes; Scolopacidae
Description: lncRNA (ENSCPUG00000016443.1)
Source: RNAcentral
ACUCAUCAAACCUGCUGUCCUCAGCUGUGGCCACCACAUAACACUGAGAUAAAACCUAUCAAGAAAUCCAGCCAGACUGGAGGAUGCCCACAGAAUCACAGGAAACUCCCCAGGAACCCUGCUUUACCCCUGAGAUCUUACAGAAGGAGACCGGAGUAUCAGUCUGCAUCUGAAAGGACCACACUCAUCAGCCAGGUUGCCAGACCUCCUAUACAACCUUAAUGAAUAAUUGGUCCUGUGUCCUGUCUGAAGAGCGAUGAGCUCUGACCUCUCCCCUGCUACUGAUAACACAAUGCCCAGACUCAGCGCGACAUUCAAGAAAUGUAAGUGCCCUAGAGUGCUUCUGUAAAGGCCGCCCAGAUUGCCACUGGCUUUUUCUAAAGGGGUUGCAAACCAAUUUCUAAUUCUGGUCUACUAUCAGAAUAGUAGGCUCGCUGUCUCCUUCAAUUUUUUCUUCCCAUGCUGCGUAUAUGUGGAUGUUUUCAAUAAAAUCAUUGAAAAAAAA